RNAcentral lists this long non-coding RNA (513 nucleotides) under Oryctolagus cuniculus (rabbit). RNAcentral describes it as "lncRNA (ENSOCUG00000036819.1)". Lineage: Eukaryota; Metazoa; Chordata; Mammalia; Lagomorpha; Leporidae. The record is from RNAcentral.
AUGAAAGGCAAGUACAUUCUAGGCAGAAGGAUUAGCCAUUGCAAAGGCCCUGCAUCAGGAAUGAGCAGAGUGUGCCUGGGAAAGAGGAAGAUGAGGAUAGAUAGAGUUAAGUCAGUAAGGAGUGGGCAGGUAAGGCUGGAGAAGUGGACAAGUCAUAGUAAGAAAUUUAUAUUUUAUUCUCUACGCAGUGAGACUCCCUGGAAAGUGUAUAAUAUGCCUUAUGUUCCUUUAAGAUUGACCCAGUUGAAGCAUCACAAUGGGUGGAGGGCAGGAUGGAGUAAGAACGGAAGCUGGGAGAAGAGUUUGGAAACAUCACAGCAGUGUAGGGAAGCAGAUGAAGGCAGCUUGUCCGAUAGUGGUGUUAAUGAAGACGCAGGGGCAUUUGGAUAGAAUCUAAAGAGAAACACAGUACACAGUAACUAACAUAUAAGAGGAGCAUUUGUUCAACCCUCUGACUUCUCUAGUGAAUGGCAAUUAUCAGCAAAAUUUACCAAACUGACAUAGAUGAUACAA